CAGCCGCCACGGUAAAACGUAGGUGGCAAGCGUUGUCCGGAAUUAUUGGGCGUAAAGGGCUCGCAGGCGGUUUCUUAAGUCUGAUGUGAAAGCCCCCGGCUCAACCGGGGAGGGUCAUUGGAAACUGGGAAACUUGAGUGCAGAAGAGGAGAGUGGAAUUCCACGUGUAGCGGUGAAAUGCGUAGAGAUGUGGAGGAACACCAAUGGCGAAGGCGACUCUCUGGUCUGUAACUGACGCUGAGGAGCGAAAGCGUGGGGAGCGAACAGGAUUAGAGACCCCCGUAGUCCCUGUCUCUUAUAA
This 301-nucleotide ribosomal RNA is filed under the name uncultured bacterium. RNAcentral's name for it is "partial 16S ribosomal RNA". It matches the Rfam family "Bacterial small subunit ribosomal RNA", at positions 509 to 809 of the family's 1533-position model. The record is from RNAcentral.